AAUAGAUACCCGGGUAGUCCACGCCGUAAACGAUGUCGACUUGGAGGUUGUUCCCUUGAGGAGUGGCUUCCGGAGCUAACGCGUUAAGUCGACCGCCUGGGGAGUACGGCCGCAAGGUUAAAACUCAAAUGAAUUGACGGGGGCCCGCACAAGCGGUGGAGCAUGUGGUUUAAUUCGAUGCAACGCGAAGAACCUUACCUACUCUUGACAUCCAGAGAACUUAGCAGAGAUGCUUUGGUGCCUUUCGGGAACUCUGAGACAGGUGCUGCAUGGCUGUCGUCAGCUCGUGUUGUGAAAUGUUGGGUUAAGUCCCGCAACGAGCGCAACCCUUAUCCUUUGUUGCCAGCGGUUUCGGCCGGGAACUCAAAGGAGACUGGCCAGUGAUAAACUGGAGGAAGUGGGGAUGACGUCAAGUCAUCAUGGCCCUUACGAGUAGGGCUACACACGUGCUACAAUGGCGUAUACAAAGAGAAGCGACCUCGCGAGAGCAAGCGGACCUCAUAAAGUACGUCGUAGUCCGGAUUGGAGUCUGCAACUCGA
RNAcentral lists this ribosomal RNA (540 nucleotides) under uncultured bacterium. RNAcentral's name for it is "bacterial SSU rRNA". It matches the Rfam family "Bacterial small subunit ribosomal RNA", at positions 777 to 1315 of the family's 1533-position model. The record is from RNAcentral.